AAUCACCACACAUGAUGCGCGCAUUCUACACUGUGCAUGGUACGAAAUUGCUCUGUGUAGUGGACCACAAGAAAAGAAAUAUUUUAUAAUAGGCUGGCCUAUGGCUCUGGUCAUCAAUUUUUGUGUUGGAUUGCUGAAAUCUUUGGAUUUGCUUCACCCACGUUCAGUCCACCGGCAGCCUUAUGAUAAUAGAACAUAAAUAACAUAUAUAACUGCAUGAAUAAGGGGC
Molecule: long non-coding RNA, 229 nt
Filed under: Elaeis guineensis (African oil palm)
Lineage: Eukaryota; Viridiplantae; Streptophyta; Magnoliopsida; Arecales; Arecaceae
Description: long non-coding RNA (EGUI_LNC022338)
Source: RNAcentral